AUACUUACCUGGUGCUGGGUCGGCGGUGAUCACGGAGGCCGCGGCCCCGUGCGGAGGCCACUCCAUUGCACUGCGGUUGGCUGAAGCACGCCACUUCCCCAAGUCGGGGUAGCUGGAGCAUGCAAUUUUUGGUAGUGGGGCUAGGCGUGCGCGCCAGCCCCCA
This 163-nucleotide small nuclear RNA is filed under the name Dermacentor andersoni. Its description in RNAcentral is "U1 spliceosomal RNA". It matches the Rfam family "U1 spliceosomal RNA". From Rfam's summary of the family: U1 is a small nuclear RNA (snRNA) component of the spliceosome (involved in pre-mRNA splicing). Its 5' end forms complementary base pairs with the 5' splice junction, thus defining the 5' donor site of an intron. The record is from RNAcentral. Lineage: Eukaryota; Metazoa; Arthropoda; Arachnida; Ixodida; Ixodidae.